ACGGGAGGAGGGCACCCACCUGGUCGGUGUCACAUGCUGCUUCGGCCCCAGCGUCCCCUCCAGGUCCCGGCGCCGGCCGCAGUCCCCAGAGCCGUCCCCAGCGCAGGCCCGGCCGCCCCACCCGCGGCCCGCCCCUGGCCGCCCGACGGGAGGGAGGGAUCGGGUUCUCCUAGGAAGUUUCAGGUCAUUCAACAUUUAUUCAACCAAAAAUACUAAGUCAGCUCUAUACAAACUAAUGGAAGGAUACAGCUAUGCAAAUACAGAAGAACACUAAACUGUUACAUGACAGAUGUAUGAGCAGAACUGGGAAGAAAGGACCCUGAAAAGUUAGCUUGUUCCAAGUGACCCUCCAAGGGGAAGAGUGCUGGAUUCAGAGCCCACCUCAGGGGAAGACAGGACGCUCUCCAAGAUGGUUUCCCUAGAAGCUACUACCUCUCCCUGGAGGGUGGAGAUAUUUGCUGGUCAAAG
Molecule: non-coding RNA, 468 nt
Filed under: Pan troglodytes (chimpanzee)
Lineage: Eukaryota; Metazoa; Chordata; Mammalia; Primates; Hominidae
Source: RNAcentral